This is a non-coding RNA of Danio rerio (zebrafish), 72 nucleotides long. The record is from Rfam. NCBI's taxonomy places the organism in Eukaryota, Metazoa, Chordata, Actinopteri, Cypriniformes, Danionidae.
GCUGAAAUAGCUCAGUUGGGAGAGUGUUAGACUGAAGAUCUAAAGGUCCCUGGUUAGAUCCAGGCUUUGGUA